Molecule: non-coding RNA, 3769 nt
Organism: Pantherophis guttatus
Lineage: Eukaryota; Metazoa; Chordata; Lepidosauria; Squamata; Colubridae
Source: RefSeq, a predicted model, not a curated record
AGCAAUCUGGGGAGAGGUUGAAACAGGAUCCCGCGGGAAAUAACAUCCUGCCUUGGCAGGCGGAUCUGCAAUGCUUGCUAAACCUCAGAGGGGUCUCUUCUCGCGGCCCGGCAACUAGUUUUUCAUUUGCUCAGCAAUCCCGGGAGAUGCUCCCUGGGUCGACGUCCAGGCACGCGACUGACCUCAGGUUCGGGAAAAGAACAAAAUAAAUAAAUCAAAAGCCCUUUCUGGAAUGGGGAAGGAUUGGGGCGGGAGAUAGCCCCAAGUAGGGUCUCUCCAUUGAAACCAAAGAAAUCAGAAGGAGAAUGAGAGCUAGACUUCCUUCCUGAAGGAUUUUCCCCUUGGACCACAGCCUAGGCAGGCCCCCCGAUCAGAUUUGUUGAAGCAAGGGCUGGAAAGAGCAGCUGGCGGCAGCAAUCUGAUGAAGAAACAAAGGAAUGCCCCGCCGGUUCUGGGAUCCCAGCCCACUGCCUAUAUUGCUGAGGAUGAUGAUGGAAGUUGCUGCCUGUUUCUUCUGGAAGAUGCUGGAAUUGGGAAGAAUGGUUGUUUUAGUCCAAUAUCAAGGGAAGGUUUCCCACCAGUCAAUGAGCCAUUAUAGAAUCAGUAUCUCAAGUAAGUAAUGUUAACCAUAUCAUCCUUCUUAAAAGUGUCAUUACUCAAUGGAUACAUAUCGGGUGGGGGGGAUGAGAUUGAUUAAUCCUAAGAGUCAAGAGCUUCCAAAUAGAAUUAUUGAAUCAUUCUGACUUGAAUUCUGUGGAUAUAGUGGGGUUAAUGGAAUUUAUUGCUAUAACCAUGUAAGACCUCUCCUCCAAAUGGUUUAAUGUUCAACUAGCCCACACUAUAUCUGGAAAUAGAAGUAAUACCGUAACUGGGUUGCCCGGUUUGAAGCUCAUCUUGUGGUCAUAUCACCAUGCCAGGAAUAUUAUGAUGUAGAUUCCAAUAUUUUCAGGUCGUUGAUUAUUCAAUGUCCAGUUAGCGGCGUAACUUUUAUAGACUGUUGGUCAUUAACCUAGUGGUAGAGGCCGAGACAUGCUCACAUCACACUUCUGAUCCUAUCCUGCAAAAAAUUACCUGAUUUUACUUCUCCCAAACUGGCAGAAUUGGCAGUUCUUGAAGUUGGGGGCUUCAGUUUUCCACUAGCCAGGAGAAAUGGGACCUUUUACAAUGUGGUGCAAUCUUGCUGGUAGUUAUCUUACCCAGGGUGCCCGCUGGCCACCUAUACCUUCUCUAGAAAGCUCCAUUCCGUCCUCUUUUCCAUUUCCCUUGAACAGCCUGCAUCCUGUGCCCUUAACUCAAUUUUUAAUAGUUUUUUUUUUAAACAUCUGCACGUUUUGCUAUUUCCUUUUUUAAACGGAUGCUUCCUUUUUGUAUUACGUCCAUAGCUACCUUAAUUCUGGCUAUGUACAGACCCAUACAAAUUCAAUAUGAAUGACAGUUAAAUUGAACCCUCGGUGUUCAAGGAACUAAAUAAGAAAGGAAAUAUGUGUUAUCUUGAUGCUUAUAAACGUAGGCUUUGGUUUGCAUAUUGUGUGGAGUUAUCUUUUUGCUUAACUCUAGUUUCUUGAGUAUGCUUCAGUUGAUUGGAUUCACAUCACUUCAUGAUUUAGGAAUGUAGAAGAGAAAUUUAUAUAUCAUAUUAAUGAUUAAGAAUCCAGGUAACCCCCUUACCAUUUAUAUUCAGUACAGGUACCACUUGACCAAGGACUCCCUAAAACUUCUUACUUGGAGGUAUCUCGGCCUGAACUUUUUCCAGACCAAACAAGUUCUCUGCCCCUUAAUUAUGACUGUUGCGUGGCAGAGGAAAUGCUCAAGCAAGAAACAUUCUUGAUCUGCUCUUUAUCGUUUGUCUUGGCUAUUUCCGGCCUCAGAAAAGGCCACUCACAAUCUUGCUGGAGAAGGGUAACUACAAAGGUUUUUGCAUCCUCUCCAGAAGGAAGUUGCAAAUGUUCCACUUCUCAGAUCACCCGACUAUCCAAUCUGAAAUUCUUUCAGAGCCUUUUGGAGCCAACUGGACAAAUUCUCAGGCUGCUCAAAGGAGUUUCUUUUCUCUCUGCUCCCCCUCCACAGAAAUAGCGUCAGGUCCCCACCCUCUCAGAUCUUGCUUCCUCCUCCCCUCCUUUUUUUUUUUUCCUAAACAGGAACAAAUUCACCUUGGCUUCUGCUUCUAACAUUUUGUCUGUGCUGGUUAAUGAGUUCAACAUAGUACAGUAAAUUUGCUGAGGAAUCAAAAAGUAUUUAAAAGGGGCUUGUGGUGCUGCCUUAAUGAAAAAAGAAUCGCGUGGCAUAAAUUAAGUUGGAAGAGAAUAAGCGCUUUGGGCAGGAUUCUGAUGGAUUUUAUGAUGCCUUUCAGUUCCGCUUUGCAGACCUAAUCGAGAAAUCUGUGCUGCGUCAAUUUAACAAAUCCUUGAGAGCGAAGGCAGGUUAGUCAAAAAGGAAUGUCAAAUGAAUCUCCAGAAAGUCUGGCUUCUAAGAUCAAAUCACCAUGGAUCCUCAAUCUACUACGCCUUUAUUCUACAGCACCCCUGACUUAACUGACCUAGGAAAAGAUGCCACCAUAGCACAUUUCUCCAGCCUGGCAAAUGUCUAUGAAAAACUGAUAAAAGAGGGUUUCUCUUGCACAAGAGGGCAUGUUUUGCACAAGGGUCUUUGGUAUUAAUGAGAUCCAGAAGGGUGGUUUUUAUCUUUGUAUUUCAGCUCCACUUCCUUUUGAUAGUACCCCUUGGUGAGAGAAAUGCUUCUGGCUCAGUUUUUUGGAGGAAUUUCCAAUAUAUUUCUUAGCUGUUGUAGAUUGUAUACUUAUCAUAUGGUAGUUUCUCACAAAAUUGCCUCAAAGGCCAAUAGGGAACCUAAAGUGUUUGAUGAACAAGUCUUACCCUGUUUACAAUCCCUGAAGACAACUGCUACAAUGAAAUCUCUGAGCUUUUACAAAAACUGCGAAUAAUUGAGAGUAACAAAAUAAUAAAGUUACUUCAAUGUAUUUAACUAAUUACAGAUGAAUAGAUGGUACUCCUUGUUUAAAUAUAUCUUUACAUGAAUCAGUGGUAUAAAAUUAAAAUAUGUGUCGAAACUCGAAAAACUUGCCAACACUGCAACACUAAAUGAGACACUACAGGAUUUCACCUAAUGGGUUCAACAGGAAGUGCUGCCCAGGGCCUAUUUUAACUUACUUAAAGUAGUUAAAAUAAUUCUUUUUCUUUCUAAACAGGUUGCAUCAGACCAAGAAUGUAAUGCAACCACAAUUAUUUCUUUCAGAAAACAUUUACAUUUGCAAUAUACAACUACAAACAUAUCUGCUGUUUUGUUAUCCUGAGGAGCAAAGUAUCAUUUAUGUUUCUGUGGAAAUGCACUUACCCAGGCAUGCCAUACUUUAAUUUAUUACACUCAGAUUUCCUUGUUUUUUCACAGGCAUUUUCCCUCUCAUUUUAGAUCAAUCUGUCUGCCACAUACACCUUGUCCAUCAGUAUUCCCCAUCCAGAUGCUCUUGUUGUUCAUUGGACUACAAUCCCCAUCAAUUUGUAGGCCAAUAUACAUGAAAAGCACGGACUGCAGAAAGCUUACAAUAUAGUUAGCAAGAGUAAGCAGAUGAACUUUCAAAAGAUACCCAGUUGAUUAUUCUCAGACUAAUUUAUCAGUGUUAUUGGGAUUUUUUUUUUAAAAAAAUGAAUCACUGCCUGGAAAAAAAGAAGAUAAAUACUAAGCUAUACUUACAAAGCCAUGUCCAUGCAUUUGACAUGCAUAUUUAAAUAAACAGCAACUUAUCUUCACUGGU